Molecule: long non-coding RNA, 480 nt
Organism: Chinchilla lanigera (long-tailed chinchilla)
Lineage: Eukaryota; Metazoa; Chordata; Mammalia; Rodentia; Chinchillidae
Exons: 3
Source: RefSeq, a predicted model, not a curated record
GUGGCAACCUUGCCUUUGCCUCCUGAGUGCUGGGAUUACAGGGUGCCUCCUCCAGAAAGCUUCUGUGGGUCUGAAGGAAGCCGGAGCCUUCCGCUGUGCCUGUGCUCUGUUGGGGUGCCAGGUGUCACCCCUGCUGGCUGAUGUGCCUCUGGGACUGGGACUGUGUCCAGUGUGUCAUACUGGACACUGUAUCCAGUGGGGCAUGUUUAGUCAAUACCAAGGCUGAGGAUUGAACCCAGGGUCUGAUACAUGCUAGACAAGUGCUCUGAGCUACAUCCCUAGACCUGUUCUACCUUUCUGAUCCAGGUGUGGAAAGACAGAGGAAGAAGUGGAGGGGACAGUGAAGAAGAAAGGAAAACAAUACUGUGGCACCAAAGAGCAAAUUUCCUGAAAGCUGUUUGUAAGAGUUCUUGGGUUUUGUUUCAUUGUUUUGUUUUUUGUUUUUUUUUUUUUUCGGUACCGGGAAUUGAACUCAGGACC